This 457-nucleotide ribosomal RNA is filed under the name uncultured bacterium. Its description in RNAcentral is "partial 16S ribosomal RNA". It matches the Rfam family "Bacterial small subunit ribosomal RNA", at positions 28 to 506 of the family's 1533-position model. The record is from RNAcentral.
GAUAAACGCUGGCGGCGUGCAUGAGACAUGCAAGUCGAACGAAGGAUCGGGCUUGCUCGAUCCUUAGUGGCGGACGGCUGAGUAACGCGUAGGUGACCUACCCCGAAGUGGGGAAUAACUGCCCGAAAGGGUGGCUAAUACCGCAUGUGGUCGCACGUUCAUUCGUGCGAGUAAAGCCGCAAGGCGCUUCGGGAGGGGCCUGCGUCCGAUUAGCUCGUUGGUGGGGUAAUGGCUUACCAAGGCGACGAUCGGUAGGUGGUCUGAGAGGACGAUCACCCAGACUGGGACUGAGACACGGCCCAGACUCCUACGGGAGGCAGCAGUCGGGAAUUUUGCUCAAUGGGGGAAACCCUGAAGCAGCAACGCCGCGUGAGGGAUGAAGGCCUUCGGGUUGUAAACCUCUUUUGUCAGGGACGAUGAUGACGGUACCUGGCGAAUAAGCCACGGCUAACUACGU